Plectropomus leopardus (leopard coralgrouper) is the source of this 110-nucleotide non-coding RNA. The record is from RefSeq and is a predicted model, not a curated record. NCBI's taxonomy places the organism in Eukaryota, Metazoa, Chordata, Actinopteri, Perciformes, Serranidae.
GCACUGAAAGCUGCAAAAAAGCAGAUAGUUCCUGUCUUGAAAAAGGAACACGUGAAUGUCACAAAAACAGUGCCUGUAACUCCAAAAGAGAAAGUCAAACCAACACCAAC